This 459-nucleotide ribosomal RNA is filed under the name uncultured bacterium. RNAcentral describes it as "partial 16S ribosomal RNA". It matches the Rfam family "Bacterial small subunit ribosomal RNA", at positions 338 to 795 of the family's 1533-position model. The record is from RNAcentral.
CCUACGGGAGGCAGCAGUGAGGAAUAUUGGUCAAUGGUCGAGAGACUGAACCAGCCAAGCCGCGUGAGGGAAGACGGUCCAGCGGAUCGUAAACCUCUUUUGUCGGGGAACAAAGCCUGGGACGCGUCCCCCGUUGAGUGUACCCGAAGAAAAAGCAUCGGCUAACUCCGUGCCAGCAGCCGCGGUAAUACGGAGGAUGCGAGCGUUAUCCGGAUUUAUUGGGUUUAAAGGGUGCGCAGGCGGUCGUGUAAGUCAGCGGUCAAAGCCCGGGGCUCAACCCCGGCCCGCCGUUGAAACUGGAAGCCUUGAGUGGGAGAGAAGUAUGCGGAAUGCGCGGUGUAGCGGUGAAAUGCAUAGAUAUCGCGCAGAACUCCGAUUGCGAAGGCAGCAUGCCGGCGCGAAACUGACGCUGAGGCACGAAAGCGUGGGUAUCGAACAGGAUUAGAUACCCUAGUAGUC